This 72-nucleotide transfer RNA is filed under the name Dipodomys ordii (Ord's kangaroo rat). It matches the Rfam family "tRNA". Rfam says of the family: Transfer RNA (tRNA) molecules are approximately 80 nucleotides in length. Their secondary structure includes four short double-helical elements and three loops (D, anti-codon, and T loops). Further hydrogen bonds mediate the characteristic L-shaped molecular structure. tRNAs have two regions of fundamental functional importance: the anti-codon, which is responsible for specific mRNA codon recognition, and the 3' end, to which the tRNAs corresponding amino acid is attached (by aminoacyl-tRNA synthetases). tRNAs cope with the degeneracy of the genetic code in two manners: having more than one tRNA (with a specific anti-codon) for a particular amino acid; and 'wobble' base-pairing, i.e. permitting non-standard base-pairing at the 3rd anti-codon position. Lineage: Eukaryota; Metazoa; Chordata; Mammalia; Rodentia; Heteromyidae. The record is from Rfam by way of RNAcentral.
GAAGGCAUGGCUCAGUGGUAGAGCAUCUGCCUCCUAAGCAAGAGGCCUUAAGUUCAAACCCUAGUACCAUCA